This 468-nucleotide ribosomal RNA is filed under the name uncultured bacterium. RNAcentral's name for it is "partial 16S ribosomal RNA". It matches the Rfam family "Bacterial small subunit ribosomal RNA", at positions 28 to 507 of the family's 1533-position model. The record is from RNAcentral.
GACGAACGCUGGCGGCGUGCUUAACACAUGCAAGUCGAACAGAAAGGCCCUGCUUUUGUGGGGUGCUCGAGUGGCGAACGGGUGAGUAACACGUGAGUAACCUGCCCUUGACUUUGGGAUAACUUCAGGAAACUGGGGCUAAUACCGGAUAGGAGCUCCUGCUGCAUGGUGGGGGUUGGAAAGUUUCGGCGGUUGGGGAUGGACUCGCGGCUUAUCAGCUUGUUGGUGGGGUAGUGGCUUACCAAGGCUUUGACGGGUAGCCGGCCUGAGAGGGUGACCGGCCACAUUGGGACUGAGAUACGGCCCAGACUCCUACGGGAGGCAGCAGUGGGGAAUAUUGCACAAUGGGCGGAAGCCUGAUGCAGCAACGCCGCGUGCGGGAUGACGGCCUUCGGGUUGUAAACCGCUUUCGCCUGUGACGAGGCGUGAGUGACGGUAAUGGGUAAAGAAGCACCGGCUAACUACGUG